This 971-nucleotide long non-coding RNA is filed under the name Nicotiana tabacum (common tobacco). Its description in RNAcentral is "long non-coding RNA (NTAB_LNC016646)". The record is from RNAcentral. Lineage: Eukaryota; Viridiplantae; Streptophyta; Magnoliopsida; Solanales; Solanaceae.
UUUUGCGGAGUCCUGAUUGCAUUCAUAUCCAGCUGGGAAGUGUCACUCCUAUCCUUACUUGUUGUCCCACUAAUCUUAUUAAUUGGCGCCAGUUAUACAAAAGAAAUGAGUGCAAUUUCAGCCAUGAAAAUGGCAUACCUGUCACAUGCCACAUCAAUGGUAGAAGAGGUAACAAGCUUAUCCAUUUUCUUUGGUGACAACAUGUUAUCAAAGUAUAGGCAGAUCUUACUUACAUUACUGAAUGAUUAUUCAUACUGCACCUCUGCUGCUCCAUGACAGACAAUCUCUCAAAUCAAAACCGUUUUUGCUUUUGUUGGAGAGACUUCAUCAAUCAAGUCGUUCUUAGACUGCAUCGGAAAACAGAUGAACCUAAGCAAGAAAGAAGCAUUUAUAAAGGGUGUUGGAACGGGCAUUUUCCAGACUGUAACUUUCAGUUCAUGGGCUCUUAUUGUGUGGGUGGGAGCUGUUGUUGUAUCAGCUCGGAGAUCAAGUGGCGGAGAUGUCAUAGCUACAGUUAUGAGCAUUCUGUUUGGUGCAAUGUAAGAGCCAAAACAUCAUAUUUUACAAUAGAAUCUACCAUGCUAUGAAGAAAGAGGAAGAAGAAAUCAAAAUACUGUCAGAAAAAAGAUGGUUUUAUUAUCUUUCUUUUAAUUUCAGAGCACUCACAUAUGCUGCACCAGAUAUGCAAAUAUUCAAUCAAGCAAAAGCUGCAGGAAAGGAGAUUUUUCAGAUGAUCGAAAGAAAACCAACAAUCAGUGCUGACUCGAGAGGGAAGACGCUGGAUGUGAUUAAUGGAAACAUCAGUAUAGAGGAUAUACACUUUUCUUACCCAUUGCGGCCCGAAAAGAUGGUUCUUCAAGGGUUUUCUUUGUCCAUUCCAGCAGGAAAAGUCGUGGCACUUGUGGGAAGUAGUGGUUGUGGUAAAAGCACCAUCAUCUCAUUAUUGAUGAGAUUUUAUGAUGCAAAGAAAG